CCCCACGGACCCUGGUUUCUGAGAGUCUGUCUUUUUGCAUGCAUCUUUCCUCUCAGAGGAUGGACAUGACAUCAAAAAUCCCUCUGUCAGUGCCCGGCUCCCCCAUAGGAGCUCACAAAGGCCUGUAACAUACAUGACAUGGUGUCUGGUCCACAGAGAGCUCACAUGGACUUUCCUACAUGUACUUGUCCGGCUCUUAAAGGACCAGACAAGACGCGUGACAGAUAUGGGCUAUUGAAGUCGCCUCGGUCCACCCUUUCUGAAACAACAUGAAAAUAAUGCAAUGCGUCACCUUCGUGAAACUAGUGCAAUCACCCUAUCACAUAUAAACAUGAUGCAUGCAUAUGCUUUAGGCAUUAUAUUCCGUACAUAAAAGAUUAGGUUUAGUUCUACUCACCUGAAGCCACUGCUCAACAAAUUCAGGGUCAACUAGCACUGAAGCUAGACACCUCUCCUCAGGUCCAAUCCUACACAGAUGGACUCACAUGAGGUACUAAACACAUUCUAACAACUCAUAAGAAACUCCCCAAAAACCCCUCUAAACAUCACUGAAACAUGCAUAGAAAACAGCCAUGAAAAGGCUGGACAGGCACUUUCGGCGGCAN
This 605-nucleotide long non-coding RNA is filed under the name Manihot esculenta (cassava). Its description in RNAcentral is "long non-coding RNA (MESC_LNC001443)". Lineage: Eukaryota; Viridiplantae; Streptophyta; Magnoliopsida; Malpighiales; Euphorbiaceae. The record is from RNAcentral.